UUUUAACUUAUUACGUUAUUAUUAUUUUUGCUAAUUUGCCAUGAUAUUUUAUUUUUAUUUUGCUAAAAUUGAUGUUUUGUGUGGUAAAUAUUGAAGGUUGCAUGGAUGCGAAAAUCCAGCUUGUUUUCCUUGCUUAAAAUUCAAGCUCUAAUCAAUAACUAUCCAAUAAUUUUAGUGAUUUAAUCGUAGAAUUUGUUAUUUUAUUGAACUAUUUAAGUUUAUUUGAAUUAUGA
This 233-nucleotide unclassified non-coding RNA is filed under the name Hevea brasiliensis (rubber tree). Lineage: Eukaryota; Viridiplantae; Streptophyta; Magnoliopsida; Malpighiales; Euphorbiaceae. The record is from RNAcentral.